Molecule: ribosomal RNA, 1692 nt
Filed under: marine metagenome
Description: bacterial LSU rRNA
Rfam family: Bacterial large subunit ribosomal RNA
Source: RNAcentral
AACCCUGUGUCUACAAGCAGUGGAAGCACUACUGAUCUUCGGAUCAUGUGCGACCGCGUGCCUUUUGCAUAAUGAGCCAACGAGUUGUCUGUCGGUGGCAGGUUAAGUUUAUAACGGAGCCACAGCGAAAGCGAGUCUGAAGUGGGCGUCCGUCAUCGGCAACAGACCCGAAACCGAGUGAUCUACCCCUGUCCAGGUUGAAGCCUGGGUAAGACCAGGUGGAGGACCGAACCGUUGAGCCUUAAAACGUUCUCGGAUGAGGUGGGGGUAGGAGUGAAAGGCUAAUCAAACUCGGAGAUAGCUGGUUCUCCCCGAAAUAUAUUGAGGUAUAGCCUCGUGAUAGACCGUCGGAGGUAGAGCACUGGAUGGACUAGGGCCCUCACCAGGGUACCAAACCCAACCAAACUGCGAAUACCGGCGAGUUGUUUCACGGGAGUCAGACAGCGGGAGCUAACUUUCGUUGUCGAAAGGGAAACAACCCAGACCAUCAGCUAAGGCCCCCAAGUCAUGACUAAGUGGGAAAGGAAGUGGGAGUGCCCAGACAACCAGGAGGUUGGCUUAGAAGCAGCCACCCUUUAAAGAAAGCGUAACAGCUCACUGGUCGAGCGAGCCUGCACCGAAAAUUUAACGGGGCUCAAGUCAUGCGCCGAAGCUGUGGGAUUUGUAUUUAUACAAAUCGGUAGGGGAGCGUUCCCUGUGCGGUGAAGCUGAAUCGAAAGGGUCAGUGGAGCGCAGGGAAGUGAGGAUGUUGGCAUAAGUAACGAAAAUGCGAGCGAGAAACUCGCACGCCGAAAACCCAAGGUUUCCCGGGCCAUGUUAUUCAGCCCGGGGUUAGUCGGCACCUAAGACGAGGCCGAAAGGCGUAGUCGAUGGCAAACCGGUUCAUAUUCCGGUACUUGCACGUGCGCGUGAUGGAGGGACACAGGAGGAUAGACCGUCCGGGUGAUGGAUAUCCCGGUUCAAGGCAUUAGGCGGAAGUUCCAGGCAAAUCCGGGACUUCAUUCAACGCCGAGAGCUGAUGACGAGAGGCUUUGCUUCGCAAAGCGGUCGAUUCCACACUGCCAAGAAAAGCUUCUAAGCAUAGCACGGGCGAACCGUACCCCAAACCGACACAGGUGGGUGGGUAGAGAAUACCAAGGCGCUUGAGGGAAAUCAUGUUAAGGAACUCUGCAAAUUGACUCCGUAACUUCGGAAGAAGGAGUGCCUGCAGCGGUGAAGGGACUUGCUCCCUGAGCUUCAGCAGGCCGCAGUGACCAGGCCCAGCCGACUGUUUAGCAAAAACACAGCACUCUGCUAAAUCGCAAGAUGAUGUAUAGGGUGUGACGCCUGCCCGGUGCCGGAAGGUUAAGGGGAGGGGUUAGGUCUUCGGACCAAAGCUCCAAACUGAAGCCCCGGUAAACGGCGGCCGUAACUAUAACGGUCCUAAGGUAGCGAAAUUCCUUGUCGGGUAAGUUCCGACCUGCACGAAUGGCGUAACGAUCGCCACACUGUCUCAACCAGCGACUCAGCGAAAUUGCAUUGGCCGUGCAGAUGCGGUCUACCCGUGGAAGGACGGAAAGACCCUGUGCACCUUUACUGCAACUUGGCAGUGAACUUCUGGUCGUUUUGUGUAGGAUAGGUGGGAGACUUUGAAACUCUGGCGCUAGCCAGGGUGGAGUCAAUCUUGAAAUACCACCCUUAUUACACUGAUAU